Molecule: long non-coding RNA, 383 nt
Filed under: Cricetulus griseus (Chinese hamster)
Lineage: Eukaryota; Metazoa; Chordata; Mammalia; Rodentia; Cricetidae
Description: lncRNA (ENSCGRG00000024672.1)
Source: RNAcentral
CCUAGAUUAGGAGGCCACAGAGAUCUGUUUACACUUUGUAGCCCAGGGCUCUUGGCUCUGGUCCACAAGCUGGAGAGUGUAAACGACAGGAAUUUCAGGCUAACAUUGACUUCCCUCUUGACCUGUGUGUCUUAACCAGAGAAAAGCAGGUAGAAGGCCCUGUUGUCACUUGCCUGAGAGCAGCAAGUAGCAUACAGAACAUGGUCUUCCAGGUAGAGGAGUUGACAUGGAGGUCCCCUGUGGUGAAGACAUGGGUUUUCAUCACUCAAGCAGAAUCUGACUGUUCUAUCAUGGAAUCAAGAAGGUGUGGACACCUACCUGUGGGUCGAAGCUUGGGGGAAUGUAGCUUCAGCUUCCUGCGGAAGCCAGAGUUCUGGAGAUAG